CAUAAAUUUGAUAUGAAAUUAAUGAUCGCGAUAUAUUUAGAUUAACAAAACUUGUAUUAUCUCCAUUCUCUGUAUGACUUGUUACAUUCUUCACAAGUUUUGCAUGUAUGUUGUUCUAAUUUAAUUUAUUUUCUUUUAGAAUAAUGUAUCCACAUAAAAAUAAAAGUGUAACACAAACCAAUAAGUUCAUCAUAUUCAUGCCAAGUGAAAAUGUAUUUCAUAAAAAUGUUACAUAUACAUAUGAUCACCAACAUACAUUGGUUAUAAAAAUUUAUAUGACAUGAAAUCAAAAAUAAAAAUAAAAAUGUGCCUCCAUAUAAUCGCGAUCAAAAUAUAACCUCUUUUUAACUCCUCAAAAAUAGCUCGAAUAACAUUUGAUUGAGCGAGCGUAGCUUAGGUUAUUCUCGAUACGUUGAAAUUGAAAUUAAACUUAUAGUUGAGGAGGAGGAGGACUAAAAGUUGGGAAUGCAAAUUUACCAUGGUUAUGGCACAUAUCAUAGCAUUCUUGUUCAGCAUAUAAUGGACUUCCUUCACCACCAAAUAUACCUUUAUAACAAUUUUCAUAACAUUGUUCAUGUCCUUGUUCCAUUUUAAAUUUUCUUCCUGAAAAUUCAAAUACUGGCCCCUCAGGACCUUGGGGGUGGGGGUGGGGGUGGGGGUCGGGGUGAGGCGAGCAAGGUUGGGGGUGGGGGGGGGUGGGGUAUUUCCUCAUGUGCAUAUGCAAGUUUGCUUGAAAUAAAGAUAGUAACAAUGGCAAUUAAAAAGAUACUAGUAAUAUUUUUGUUAAUAGCCAUUAUUUCUUUUAAUUCCCUCUAUACUUUCCUAUUUUUUUCUAUGAGAAAAGUUAAAAAGAGGGAAUAAAAAAGAUAAUAUGAGAGUGAUAGAGGGAAAAGGUGUUUUUUAUAGGUGAAAAAAUGAUAAUAUUUUUGCUAAAAAUUAGGUUUUGGUAUAGAGUAUUUAGUGGAUUGUCCAUUAAAAAUUCUAAAUGUAAGAGAAGGGAUGUCCACCCAAAAGUCUAUUGUGGUAAAGAGAGAAAUAAGGAAGGAAAAAGAAAAAGGGAAAUUAUGAAUUUUUUUACGAGUUUAAGUUACAAGUUCACAUGGUACUUGCGCUUUUGCACUCAAUGAUGAAGUAGCCCAAGAGACAAAUUGUGUGAAGUCUGUUGAGCAAUGUUAUUGGCUUGGACCAUGUCAAAGGUUGCGACAUGCGGAAUACAAACCUAAUGUGCUUCAACUUUUUUCUGACUAUAGCAGAAACUUAGUACAUCGAACUAUCCCGUAUAUCUUGGCCCCCUUUUUUGUUUUUUGACAUAAAAUGAAAUGAUAUGUGGAUGCAAUUGAAGUUUGAAACUGCAUUUUCUUCAGUAACAACUUAUAUUCGUAACACAUUUUCCUUUACUAUCUUAAUUGAUAAUUAAGUCUAUUAUUGUGCACAUUUGAUGUCACUUAAAAUAUCAAAAACAACAACUAUUUAGCUGAAAUUUCAUAACAAAGUGAGGCUAUACAAUAAUACAAAUGAUAGCUUACAUAUCAGCAAAUAAAGGCUAGGCCAGUUCUACUACUAAUGAAUUUACCUCUGAUCUUGAGGGAGAAAAUAGAUAAGGCUUGGGAGGCAUUUGCAAAGAGUCUAGUUUCCCUUCUAACAUUUCAACAACCUUGCUCAUCGAUGGCCGAUUUGAGGGAUCAGUCUGUAUGCACCAUAAACUCGCUAUCACCAUCUUUCUUGCACAUUCGUUCUCCUCUUCAUUCAUUAUCCCGAUUAGUUGAAGCUCUUCUUCUAGUUCAAGUCGUUGAUAAAGCCAAUGUGGAAAGUAGAUUUCACUAGUGCGAUCAACUCCUACAUCAACAUUUUUUCUUCCUCCAACCAUCUCUAGGACCAUCAUUCCAUAGCUAUAGACGUCAGACUUGUGAGAGACACCUCCCAAGUUUCUGCAAACAAUUUCCGGAGCAAUAUAGCCUAUAGUACCUCGUGGACCUAACAUUGACACGACACUCUCCUUUUUUAUGCAUAGUUUGGCAAGGCCAAAGUCAGAGAUCUUUGGACAAAAAUCCUCAUCAAGUAAGAUAUUAUGAGGCUUUAUAUCAAAAUGCAAAAUCCGAGUGUUACAACCACGGUGCAAGUACUCCAAUCCUCGAGCAAUGCCUAGUGCGAUUUUGUAUAAUAUUGGCCAACUUAAUUGGCGAACAUUGUCGGAUCUUUUUUCAUAGAUAAACUUUUCAAGAGAUCCAUUAGGCAUGAACUCAUAUACAAGAGCUCUUUUCUGUCCCUCAAAACAGAAUCCCACAAGGCUCACAAUGUUAACAUGUGAUGUUCUGCUAAUACUUGCCACUUCGUUAACGAAAUCUUCACCACUGCCUUUUAGUUCAUUCAGGACCUUCACUGCCACUUCACUCCCAUCACGCAAACUUCCUCUGUAUACAUUACCAAAUCCUCCAUGGCCUAGUUUGUUUCUGAAGCGACCGGUGAUUCUUUUGAUGUCUGUAUAAUUGUAUCUGUUUGGAGCAUAUGAUCCAUAGUUCUUUAAGAAUUCUUCAACUUUUUGAUGAUCCUCAGCAUUAGAUUCCCAACACCUGAGGUAUUUGUACCACAAAAUCUUUUUUCUGAAGCAGAAGAGUAAAAUCAACAGUCCAACAGUAAACAAACUUGCACCUGUGUGAAAAAGAUGAAGUCAUGCCCCAUCAGAGACUACAACAACAACAACAUAAUAGCCAAUGUAAUCCCACAAAGUAGGGUCUGGGUAGGGUAGGUGUAAGUAGACCUUACUCUACACCAUGGACCUUCGGCACGAGAAAAAAAAAACAGUUGGGAAAAGGAAAUAACAGAAAAUGAAGAGACCAUGGCAAAACACUACAGAAAGCAUGAUCAAACAUUCUAAACAAUAGCUACAACAUAAAAUAUGACAAUCGAAGCACAACAGUAACAGAAAUCUAGCAACUAGAUACAGGAUUAUUGCUAUGCUACUAAUAGGAAAGGAUAAUCGAGAACAUCUGCAAACCAAUACCUGUGGCCACCAUGAACCAGAUUAUCCGAAGGUAACCCCUUUUUGAUGUUCCAGCUGUUACAGUGCUAACAUUUGCAAUACCAAUACUUUUAAUAACAUCUGCAACACCAAAGCUUGUGUGAGUUUCAGAUUAUAAAACUUUUCUCCGAUUAAGCGAAAAAGUCUGAUAAUGAUAGAAGGAGAAAAAGAUUUUAAUUUGGAACGGAGGCAAGUUUUCCCCCACAUGGCUCCGCCCCUGGCCCUAACCCCAGUUUUGCUCCCACAUGGCUCUUCCCCUGCCUUACCCCAAGUUCUAAAACAGUGGAUAAGUACAUAUAUGGAGAUGUCUACCUUUGUGACAAGAAAAUUUGUUGGUUUUAUUAGUCUGGCAUUGACCUCCACCAUAAUGACAUUUGUUACAUUCCUCAGAUAAUUUCCAUUCUACUAGAAUUGCAGGACCUAACAUGUCGAACAAAUCACCAUGAGUUGCCUGAAUUGGCAAUCUGAUAAGUGAACAGUUGGUAGGAAGAUUGUCUGCUGCUAUGUAUUCAUCAUCAUGUCGGGAAAGGUUGUAGUAUAUGCUAAAGCCUUCACAGCCGGUGUACAUAUUAUAACCAGCAAAAUGAUCGUUCUUCUUCUGCGUAAUGUUACGGGUAUUAUUACUGGUACUGAUGCAUUUGUAGAAGCUUAUUAUAUUAAUCAUAUGGAAAGACAUAAAAGAAGAGUAUGGAAGGGAGAAAUUUUUGUUAAAAGCCUGGCACUUGUGUUGCGUCAACGUUGUUUGAAGCUUCGUGUCCCCAAGCCAAACUGAUAAAUUAUGCAUCUCUAAAGCAUAGUACUAAUAUCCCUCAGGAAGCAGUCGGAUUCUCGGAUAUGGUUUAGCAUCACAACCAGAUAAGAACAUUAUUCCACAUUCAGGUUGUGUAGAAAGAGAGAAAGGAAAGCUUAGGUCAGUAAAAUUUCCACAUGAAAAUGACUUUGGACAAGUUGAAUCAUUUCUGCCCUUUGCCUGAACUAAGAUCAGGAGAAGUGAUAGGAGAUAGCUUACAUAUGAAGUGAUAGCCAUAUUAAAUAUCUCGAGAAGAGGAAGACUAGAUUAUGAACUCAUUUGUUCACUACAACUUAACAUUUAAAAGCAUAGUUGAUUUGGAAAAUUUGUGAGAAACGUGUAUCAUGGUGUAAAGACUUGAAGUCUUGCAUCAUUAUUUAGACUUAGUCGUCAAGCCUAGUGAAGAGACAACUAUCACUUUUUUUUACUGAGUUUUAUAGCCAUUGUUCCUUUUACCUACCUAAACUAUAUAUAUCACUCUCUUUGUAUUAAAACACACCAUGAUGCAGAGUUCGCAAAACAGGCCAAUUCAACAUCGAAGGUAUGUUUUAGUACAGAUGGAGUGAUAGUUUAGAUAGGUAAAAGUGAACAAUGGAUAGUUGAGAUAUGAAACUCGCGAAAAGGUGAUAAGAGUUAAUGGGAAAAAACACACCUAUAUCAAAGUCUAUUCUAACAUUACUGGGAGUGGAAAAGUCUCAGAAUUAUCAAUAGAUACUUCCAACAUCUAAAGGACUUUUCUCCUCUACUUAUGCAUCCUAUCCUUUUCUCUUUUUUCUUCGUUUAGUCACAAUCAUUUUCCAAGUAGGACAGUACAUACAAUUCUAUUCUAACAUUUUUAGACAUAAAAUGCUAGAGAGACAAGAAUUGAACUUAGAGACUUAAUUUUCUUCACUAUACACUGAAAUUCCAAGAACAUUUUGCUUCAUAGUCUUUAUAUACAAAAUAAGUUAUCUGAGGAACAAAUUUUAUUUGACAGAACCUACAUAGUGUGCUUCUGAUGCCAAUGUUCAAUAGAACAUUUAACUAAGAAAUGAACCUACAUAAGUGUUGACAUUCUUGGGAAUGAUGUACUAGUUAAUCGUUUUCGUUCCAUCGCAUACUCGAUUAAAGGAGUUUUUUUUUCAAGAAGAGAGAUCUCAAACUUAAAGGACUGAGAACUCUUCUUCCUCAAGAAAUUUUGAAGAAUAGGGAAUUCAAGUCUUUUUAAUAUUUAACUUCCAUGUAGUAAUAUACAUCCUUGACAACUAAUGAAAAUCACAAAAUGAAAUUGAAAGCUAUGGUUGAACACUUGAACUAAACCUUUCUUCUCUUUGCUAGUUAAGUACCAACAAGUACUUAGUUAACUAAACUGUCUUGCAUUUCUUUCAAACCAUUUUCUGCAAAACGAUUUUCUUGAGCUUAGGGUCUAUCAGGAACAACCUCUCUACUCCACAAAGGUGAUGCAAGUUUUGCAUACACCCUACUCUUCUCACACCCCACUUGCGGGACUAUACUGGAUAUGUUGUUGUUGUUGUUGUUGUUGCCAGUUCUAUUGUUGAUGAAUCUACCUCUGAUCUUGAGGGAGAAUAUAGGUAAGGCUUGGGAGGCAUUUGCAAAGAGUCUAGUUUCCCUUCUAACAUUUCCACAACCUUGCUCAUCGAUGGUCGAUUUGCCGGAUCAGUCUGUAUACACCAUAAACUUGCUAUCACCAUCUUUCUUGCACAUUCGUUCUCCUCUUCAUUCAUUAUCCCCAUUAGUUGAAACUCUUCGUCUAGUUCAAUUCGUCGAUAGAUCCAAUGUGGAAAGUAGACUUCACUCGUGCGAUCAACUCCAACAUCAACAUUUUUUCUUCCUCCAACCAUCUCUAGGACCAUCAUUCCAUAGCUAUAGACAUCAGACUUGUGAGAGACACCUCCCAAGUUUCUGCAAACAAUUUCUGGAGCAAUAUAACCUAUAGUACCUCGUGGACCUAACAUUGACACAAUACUCUCCUUUUUUAUGCAUAGUUUGGCAAGACCAAAGUCGGAGAUCUUUGGACAAAAGUCCAGGAUAUUGUGAGGCUUUAUAUCAAAAUGCAGAAUCCGAGUAUUACAGCCACGGUGCAAGUAUUCCAAUCCUCGAGCAAUGCCUAGUGAGAUUUCAUAUAAUAAUGGCCAGCCUAAUUGGCGAACUCCGUCAGAUCUUUCCUCAUAGAUAAACUUUUCAAGAGAUCCAUUUGGCAUGAAUUCAUAAAUAAGAGCUCUUUUGUGACACUCAAAACAAAAUCCCACAAGGCUCACAAUGUUAACAUGUGAUGUCCUGCUAAUACUUGCUACCUCAUUAAUGAAAUCUUCACUAUUACCUUUUAGUUCAUUCAGGACCUUCACUGCCACUUGACUCCCGUUAGGCAAACUUCCUCUGUAUACAUUACCAAAUCCUCCUUGGCCUAGUUUGUUUUUGAAGUAACUGGUGAUUCCUUUGAUGUCUGUAUAGCUGUAUCUUUUUGGAGCAUAUGACCCAGAGUUCUUCAGAAAUGCUUCAAUAUUUCUGUGAUCCUCAGCUAUAGAUUCCCAAAACCUGAGAUUUCUGUGCCAGAAAAUCUUUUUUCUCAAGCAGAAGAGCAAAAUCACAACUCCGAUGCAAGAGAAAACUGCAAAUGUGGGGGGAAAAUGGAAAGUCAUGCACCGGAAAGAGCCUGGUUUUGAGGCAGCACAGCGAUUACAACAUUUGCAAAACAUAUAUUAAAAUAAUUCUAAGUUAGAUCAAGGCAUUACGAGAUUUUUGUGCAAGUCUAAUUACAGAUAUUAGACAUGUACCUGUGCCUAGAAUCAGUCCCAAGUUUCUUUUUGCUUCUGCAAAUACACAGAAAUGAAAGAGUAAUAAGUCACAAUAAGAGUGAAAGCAAUUCACUUCCGUUCACGUUGAAUUAUUAAACAUCUUGGAAUGAACCAACCAACACACAUCUAAAUCCAUACCAAAAAUGAAACCAGACAUACACAAGCAACUGACAAACUUCUUAUAUCCAAUACCUUUGCAGCAAAAAAAGUUGUUUUCGAUGUCACUCUGGUAUCGCCUUCUUUAUGAGAUAGUUAGAAUAGUUUAAAGACAAUUCCCAAUCUAAUGUGAAACUAGGAGUCAAUAGAUCAAACAAAUCAGAAGAAUUUUGUUCUGAAGGUGAAUGAUGAAUUUGCAGGAAGAUUGCUAGCUAGAAUACUACGUCUUUGAUCAGUUCGUGGUUUAUGACACUAUAUGCUAAAGGCAUCACGACUCAAGUAGUUCUUAUAACUUUGAAAUAACUAUCAAUCCGCUUACUGUUAUUUGAAUGUACAAAGUAAUAUGUUGUUGACUUAAAAUAGAACACGAGGUGGGAAAAGAUAACUUAUGGUUCCAAUUCUUCGACAACGAACUCUGAAGUUUCACCUUGUUGGUGUUCGAUUCCUCAUCUUUUAAUACCCUCUCCCAUUUCCCCUUCGCCUACCACCAAUUUUUUUAUUUAUCUUUUCUUUUAAAAAAAAAAAGUUGGCUGCUCAAAAUUUUGCGGUUAACACAUAAUCCAAAUCCUUAAUGCAGCUAUAUCUUGAUGCCUAGAUCAUCAAACGAUACUUUUUUGUGCACUUGGUAAUCACAAGAAAAGAACCUGAAGCACGGCACCUAAUCAUAAGAUAAGGUUCUUCAUAAUUAUACUCGAAAAUUAACUGCUAGAUAGGGGCUUACUGGUAGGUUGGCAACUCGAAGCAUGAGGCCUGUCAGUGCAGAAACAUUUGAAUUGAUAAUUGAUGACAUCAAAUCCGCAACGUCCCCCACUUUCUGUACACUCACUGCAGUCACUUGAUAUCCAGCUCAAUCUAAACCCCCUUCUCAGUAAGACUUGAUAGUCAAUAACUCGAUUACUCCCCUCAUUUCCAAGCAGUUCUACUGGUAUUAUUACAUGAUCUUUACACGCUUGUAAUGCAGACUCAAAGCCUUCAUCAUCAUCAAACAUUGCAAGAAACCAAUCAUUCACAUUUUCUCCACCACAACCAAAACCAACCCUGUGCUUCAAAAGAUCCUCGGAUAUCGAUCCAUUACACUUUGACAACAAGUGAAUUCCUGAUUCCUUAACAAACUCAAAAGGGAGAUCAUCGAGUGACACGUUCUUGAUAUCAGAAACACAUCCAUUCUUUACACUACUGUUAAAGAUUGAAUUUUUAAGCUGAAAAGUAUCAUCUUGAUAUCUAAUAUCUUCAACUAUAUACUCAUUUUCAGUAAUACGUACAACAGGAAACCCUUGUUCACUACAAUUUAGCCCAAAUCCAGGGUAUCCACAGUAAGAUUCUUGAACAUCUUCAAUAUAAAAUGGGAAGCUUAUUCUUGGACCAUAUCUACAAUUUACUGGUUUAUUACAUACUACAAACUGUGGAUCAACAACAGCACAACAUUUAUCUAUUUGCAAAAUGAAACAGAAAACACAAAGGUUUAACAAUGCUAUCAAGAUAGACCUUUUUUCUUGGUUCAUCUUUAAGCUUAAACAACUGAAAAAUAUACUACUACACAAGUAGAUAAUGAAAAAUAUACCAAAGAGAGGAGGGGUUUCUUGGAUUUUACCUUCUUGUUAGCAAUAAGUUGACUUCAUUUUGUCUACAUAUUCCAUACAACUCUGUAUCUACCAAAAUUGAAUUUUCAAGAUUAAACUUUACUGGGGUCAAGCUUCUUUUUUUUUUACAAGCAUAGCGCUAAUUUCACACAAUAUUUGGCAUCUCCUAUUAGCAACAAGUACAAAAUAACUCUAAUGGGUCAAGUUUUUAAUGAAGAAGUUGCAAUUAUUGACCAAUAAUCUAUUUGACUAAGCUUAAAAAUGUAUGCUUUUGAGACAUAGUCCAUAUUCACACACGAUAAAGAAAAAACACAAUACAUAAAUAUAAAUAGGAUCCUUAACUUGACGUCAAUUGACAAUUAUGACCUUUGACUUUAGAUGUACACAAGUAGACACUUAAACUUGUAUAAAAUUGAGCAAAUGAACACGAUCGUCUUACGUGGCACCCUACAUGACAAUUUUGUAUCUUACAUGGCAUCGCAUCCUAUGUGUAUUAUGCCAUGUAGGACAGUUGUGUCUACUUGUUCAAUUUUAUAAUAAUUUAAGUGUCUACAUAUUCAAAGUUAGAAGACAUAGUUAUUCGUUGACGUCAACUUAAAGGUCAUAUUUAUGAAUUAUGCCAAAAGAAAAUAUACAAGAUAACACCAAGGGAGGAAGGUGUUGUUCUUUUAUUUUUUUUCCUCCCUUUUCCAUUCUUUUGGACUACAAAAAUAAUUAUUUGUCUAAUAUUAAUAUGACUUCACUUGUAUUCACAUUCUAUUGACUUUCUGAGUUAAUUUCUCAAAUGAUCACUCAAAAAGUUAGUUAUAUCCCACAACAAGGGGUGGAAGCCCGGAGCUAGAAAGCUACUUUACCUAUAAGUUUGGUUAAACUCAAUAAUUUUAGUCUAGACUGUCGCAUGACACCCUCCUGAGAUGUCUUGGAAGGGUGACAUGAGGCAAAGUAACCCGACUUGGGUGUGAUUACUUUCUGUCAACGUCAACGACAACGUCAAAAACAUAAUAUAUUAAUUCAGAAUCAAAUGAAAAUUUGCUUGUAGUAGAGAGAAACAAUUGCAAGAAAACCAACAUUGUGCUGAGGGAGAGGAAACACCAAUGCAUUGCUUGCUGAAAUUCUUGAUUCCACUUCGUUGUCGUAAAAACUCAGAAUUCAUAAAGUUCAAAUCAUGAUAUCACUUUUUUUUUUAUAAAUGAAUUUGUCUCGAGUUUUACAUACGAAUUCAAAUUAGUCUGACUAAUGAAUUUCGGUGCUCAAUGGUUACAUAACAACUUUAUAAUAUAUAUCAUUGCAAGUGGACUGUAUCAUUUAUUUAGAUAAUGGACUUGUGGAACAAGCAGGCCCAGACAUAUAGGGCCCAAAUCUACAUCUUUAACAGCCUGUUAAGAGUUAAUGGAAUCAACAAUAGGCAGAAGUGGAAAAUAUGUCAUAGUGCUAAUAGUAAUGAAAAAAAAGAUUUUUUUUUUAUAUAAAUGUUAAGAAAAAUCAAUUUUAUCCCAAGAUUUUGAACUAUGCGAUCAUCUCUGAUACGAUAUCUCAUCUAAAAACUUAAGCUGUUAGAAAAAAAUGUAAUUUUAUUAGUUAAUUAUAUUCUCGAUAAAAAGAUCCAUACUACUAUAUAUCUGAUAUUACAAUAGAAGACGUUAUCGCCUGAUUAUAUUUGUGCAUUACAAAUAUGUUUGAACAGAUCCAGUGAUAAUGGUAUAUUACUCAGCUCCUUCCUUUUGGUAAAAUAUAACACAUGAAGUCUUCAAUUUGAAAGAUCGUUUUCUUCCAUUUAAGUUGUGAAUAAUUAUUAAAGAUCGUUUUCUCGAUAAUGCAUGGUACAAACAUCAUAUAUUGCUAAAUAAUGGACUAUAAUUUAAGGGCAUAGAAACUAGGUAGAUGUCAAUUUUGUUAUAUAAAUGUUUUUAUGUAGUGAAGCACUUGAAAUCACACAAAUCACCAAGUUGAGUAACAACAUCAAUUGUCUAGCCAAAGUCAUCUCAAGUCAUUUUCAAUAAAAUAAAACUUAUUAUAUUUUUUUCCAACUAAAAUCCACUCACCUGUUUUUUUUUUCCCUCUUCCAUUAAUGCAUUGAAAAGUAAAUGCUUGUUACAUCAAGUUAAUUUUGUGACUUGACAUCUUAGAAUUCUUGUUCUAUUUCAAACUACUUACAUAAUUUUUGAAAAAGUUAAUUAUAAUAUUUGAACAUGAAAGUAAAACGCUCCUUAUCAAAAACGAUUAUGUUCUCACGACUUGAACGAGAAACUUAUAAUUAAGCAAAACGCUUCGUUUUGUUUUUUGUAUUUGUUAUUUUGAUGUAUGAUAUUCAUUUUUGAAGUCUGAUUAAUUUAAAUUUAUACCACGAAAUUAAGAUCUAUUAAAGCGAAAAAAAACCCUAUAACAUGAUAAUUAUAGGGAAAAAACUACUAGAACUUUAAUGUUGAAAAAGUUUUAGCCAAAGUCCUUCCAUUUGAAGAAAAUAGACUAUACUUUAAAAAGUAUUUACAUGUAUUAUUAUGCAAUGAUUAACUUAUAAAUUCCUACAAUGAGUGGCAAAUAAUAGGUUUCAAUUUUCAAUUGGUUAAUACCAAUUGGAAGCCAUAAUUAUUUCAUUAUUAGUCUUGUAAAGUAAACUUCCUUUUAGGUAUUAAAAUAUACUCGAUAUUUGCCACCAUCAACAAUUAUUGUGAAAUGAAUAUAUACUAUUUUUUUUUACAAUUGUUCAAUUCAAAUCCUAGAAAAUAUUUCUUUAUAUUAUGCGAAUUUAAAUUAGUCAAAUCAAAAACUUUUUCGUAUGUUUGUAAAUAAAAAAUAAAAAAAAAUCUAAUUUGAUAUUUAAUAUUUGUAUUAAAGCUUGAUAAAAUUUGAAUUCGUACAAUGAACUCUCACAUUAAAAGGUAAAACUUUCUCUAUCAUAAAAACUUAAACUCGAAAUAUCUGAUUUAACGACGAAUCAAUACUUGAAUGUCCACUUGCUUUUUAAGUCUUAUUCCUUAGAAAUUUAACAUUAUAAUCUUCUAACAUUCCUUUGGCCCCAUGACAUUGACUUUGUAAUAUCCUACUUGCUUUUUAAAGGCUUCAAACUACAACCACACAAUUUAAAGAAAUUCUACUUUGUCUAUGUCAAAAAGUUAAUCACUUUUUAACUUAUUUCACGUCCAAUAAAACUUAUAAUAUAAAUAUAAAUAUUUAAGUUACUAAGUUGAAGUAGUCACUUGGUCUUAAUAGAGGUUCGAUUCUCGUUAGACCCAUAUCAAGAAGUUUACGCACUACAUAUUGUUAUUUGUGUAAUUUACUAAAAUACCUUAUUUAUUCGAUGUUUCUUAAGAAUUGAACGUUUUAUAGUUCUAAAACAAUACAAUGGUAUAGUUACAAACAAUUAUUAUCUCUUAUCUUAAAUUAAUCAAUUUUAGGAAAAAAAAUUUCCUUGCUAAAGGAUAAAGGAGUUUUUUUUUUAAAAAAAAAGAUUAUAUUUCAGAAAAUAUUUUUAAUCGUACAAAUAACCACAAUUAUAUUUCCAUUCUUUUCUAAACUUAUUUUAUUUUAUAUAAAAUAAAAUAAAAUAAAAUCUGAUUUCUUUAGGAAGCACAUGGCAAAGGUGUCAAAAUCCUUCUGCUCGUGCUGAUUUUCAUAUCACAUGCCUUUUACCAAUAGUUUACCUUAUUUUUUUUUUUUGAAAAAAGACAAAUAUAUCUGAACUAUCGUAAAUGAUAUGCAAAUACCCUUGAUCAUAUUUUUGAGACAUUGGUGUCCAUGUCAUCCAAAGGUUAGAGAACAUAUACCCUUUAUACUAUCGGACAUACACGGUGUCAUAAUCUUAUCCACUGAUCCGAUAUUUAUCGACGGAUAAGAUCGUGACAUAUGUCCCUAUUUAGUCCACCGUUAAAGUGAACAUGCAUAUAAGCUCUAGUUUUUGAACGGCAUGGACACCAAUAUCUCAGAAAUAUGACGAAGGAUAUCUAUAUAUCAUUUACGAUAGUUCAAAAAUAUAUUUAUCUUUUUGUCUUUAUUUUUUAAUAAUUUAAUAUUCCAUACUCAUUUUGAAUCAAGGAUAUAUAUAAAUAACUAAUACUUUUCAUUAUGAAAUUGAAAAAUAAUCAUCUAUUACAUAAUUUCUAAGACAUUUAAAUAAGGCUUCACAUGUAAAAAGUGCCUACCCCAUACUAUUACUAUAUAUAUUAUUAAAUCACUUUAUGAAAAUUAUAUUACAACUCGAUUGGAGAAAUUUCAAAAUAUAACAUAAAAUUUCACUCGUAAAAAGUGGUUAAUCCGUACUAUUACUAUUAUUAAUAACAUUAAUGUACCAAGGACGAUUCGAUUUUAAGGUUCAAUUUGCUAGCUUUUGCCAUUGCUUUCGGCCUUUCAGAUUCGAUUAGUCUAUAAAUAUAUCCUAAAGUUUUGUUUUUUUUUUAUGAAAAAUAAUCAAAUAUAUUGUUGAAUUCUUCAAAAUGAAUUUAUUUUACCCUCUAUUACAUCUUUUUUUUGGUUAAAAAAUAACUUUUCAUUACUAAAAUAGUUGAAAAAUACAUCGUAUAUAUAGUUUAAAUUUUGAAUUUGUCUCGUUAAAUAUAUAAAGCUUAUAUCUGUACUAGAAAGUCGGUAAAACAACAGAAAAUACAUACACAAAAAAAGUUCAUAGUACCUCAGAGUGUCAGCUCUUUCACUUUCCAUUGUCAACAAGAAAAAGGUUCAAUUUUUUUUAAAAAGAUUACAUUUUUAUGUAAUUUAUUUGUUAAUUACUCAUAAAAGAUUAUAUCUUUGUUUAAUUUGGUAGCAUUUGUUUAUUCAUGUGAGAUUUAUGUGUAUAAUAUUCAAAGAAUGUUUGUUUAUUUUGAGGGAAAAAAAAUACUUUUUUAAGUAAUGGGUAUUUGAUGAUUGAUUUAUUACAGUUCAUAUCUUGUCAGCAAUCCGCGUUUUUUUUUUUUGUAUUAAAUUUGUUAACUUGGAGUGAAAUUCUUUGUCUCUGCAGUCACUAUCAGAUCUGAAUUUUGGUUUUGUUUGUGGGGGAAACAUAGCAAGUUAAAAAAGGCAUUGUCUUUACAAGGUAAUAUCCAAGUGUAUUGGGGUGUGUGUGUGUGGUGGAAUUUGGGAUAUUUUAAAACAGGUGUCAAAUGGAAUGAAAUUUUUAGGAGAUUCUUGAAGCUUUGGUGUUGUUGAUGUGUUUGUUUUGGUGUUGAUGGGGUUUGGGGAUCAAGUUUUGAGCUUUAGGAGAGUGUUUAUUUGGGAAUGAUAUUGUUAAGGGGUUCUUUAAGUUUUAUGUUGUUUAUAUGUUUGUUUUGGUGUUUUUGUGUUGUGUGUGAUUGGAUUUGGGGAUAAAGUUUGAAACUUUGGAGGUUCUUGAAGUUUUAUGUUGCUUAUGUAUUUGUUGUAGGUGUUUUUGUGGUUGAAUUCGGGGAUCGAGUUUGAAACUUUGGGAGAGUUCUUGGGAGUGAAAGUGUUAGGAGCUUCGUGAAGUUUUUCAUGUUGUUUAUGUAUUUGUUUCUAGUUGUUUUUGUGGUUUAAGUGCGGGAUCAAGUUUGAAACUUUGGGAGAGUUCUUUAUAGGGAAUGAAAUUGUUUGGAAGUUCUUGAAGUUUCAUGUUGUUUAUAUGUUUGAUCUGAUGGCUUUGUUGUGUGUGUGAUUGGAUUUGGGGAUCAAGUUUGAAACUUUCGGAGAGUUAUUUGGGAAUGGAGUUUGGAGGUUCUUGAAGUUUCAUGUUGUUUAUGUACUUGUUUGUGUUUUUGUGGUUGAAUUUGGGGAUCAAGUUUGAAACUUCGGGAAUGAAUUUGGAAGUUUCGUGUUGAUUAUGUGGUGUAUGACUGUAUUUGGGGUUCAAGUUUGAAGCUUUGGGAGGUUGUCAGGGAGUAAAUGUUUGUUGGAUCGAAUAGACUGAUUAAGGAUUCUAUUAUUGACUAUUGUGGAGCUCUUCUGAUGAGCUGAGAUGUGAAAAAAUAGAAGUGAUCUCAGGAUUAAAAGAAAAGAAGAACGUGGGAGGUUCAUAUUCUCUGGAUUCGACUAUAACAAGGUAUAAGUUUCAACGUCGUGUUGGAAUUUGGGAGAUUUAACUUGGAAUAGUUUGUAGGUCGAAAAUGGGGUCAAGACAAGAGAGGCAUAGAUCUGAUCAUGAUCUUGUGCCAUUAGCAGCACUGAUAAGCAGAGAAUUGCGGAAUGAAAAAAUGGAGAAGCCAACUGUAAGAUACGGAUGUGCAGCUCAGUCUAAGAAAGGUGAGGAUUAUUAUCUGAUGACGACAGAUUGCCAGAGAAUUCAUGGCAAUCCUUCAUCCGCCUUCUCUGUGUUUGCGGUAUGUAUUUCUCCAUCUUUUUCCCCAUCAAACUCCAUCUUUUACCACAUUAAGUGGGGUCGAUGUGAAUUUUUGUAUCAAUUUCACUUAGUUUCAGGUUUAUUGCACCCUGAUACAUUUAUCCAUUUCUCCAUCUUCUACUAGACAAACUUGUCGUCUUAAUCAAUCGAUUACAUGUAAAAUUUCCAGUCUUUCUUGCAUUGGUUCCAUACACCUAUUAAUCCAGUUUGAUGUCACCCAUUCUAUCUAUAGGCCAUUUAAAAUCAUUAUUUGGAUUUAUUCAGUAGAAUUGUUUUUUAAAAUUGGACUAGAUACUGAAGGUUGACGGUCCUGUCACUGUAUUUGCUUUGUAUGUUCCAUAGUCUUUCCAUUUUAUUCAAGGUUGUUAAGUAUUGAUAUGGUUCAAUAUUACUUUUGGGACUGAAAUUGUGUGCUGGUCGAAUUUUGUUUGAGGUUCAGGUAAUAUGAUGGUCCUUGCAGCUGGAUUCUUCAGUUCAUUAAUUUUCCAUGUAAUUCUUCUUUCCGUCAGAUCUUUGAUGGACAUAAUGGAACAGCAGCCGCAGUGUACUCAAGGGAUCAUCUACUAAAUCAUGUUUUGGGUGCCAUUCCUUGUGGACUGGGGAGGGAUGAGUGGCUUCAAGCUUUGCCUCGUGCACUAGUUGUAGGGUUUGUGAAAACUGACAAGGAGUUUCAGAAGAAAGGCAUGAAAUUUGUGCUGCAUUUCACUUUAUAGCUAUUUUAUUUUGAUUUCAUGGUUCAAUAGUGCUAAUGUAUAUAACUUUCAUUUGUCACUGCAGGACUAACAUCUGGAACUACAGCUACAUUUGUGAUUGUUGAUAGAUGGACCGUGACAGUUGCGUCUGUUGGAGAUUCACGCUGCAUUUUGGAUACUCAGGGUGGUGCUGUUUCAGAAUUAACUGUAGAUCACAGGCUUGAAGAAAAUGCAGAGGAGUAAGUGUCCAUCUUCUAAAUCAUUCCAUCUGGUGUGUUGAUCAGAAAAUGUUCAUCAUCUCUUAAUUAAUUGCAGAAGGGAGCGUGUCACAGCAAGUGGAGGCGAAGUAGGAAGACUUUGUAUUUUUGGUGGUACUGAGGUGUGUUGUAAAUUUGCAUCUCCGAUAUCAUAUCACGGAUGUGAUAGAAAACUUCCAUUUUGCAUCUGCAGAUUGGUCCUCUUCGCUGUUGGCCAGGAGGUUUAUGCCUUUCAAGAUCAAUCGGAGAUAUGGAUGUAGGAGAAUUCAUUGUUCCAAUACCAUAUGUCAAACAAGUGAAAGUAAUACCUUGCUUUGCUUUGCUUUUCUUACUCUCUUUUAGACCAUCUUAAGAUUUACCUUCCUACCAAAUCCCGAUGUACUAUUUUCUGUUCUAUAUCUGAUGUCUCAGGUAGAGACGAGUAAAUUCAUGAAUGGCUCAGGCCCUAACCUUUUCAAAACAUUUUGAAGCUAUCAACUGUAGGUGGAAGGCUAAUUAUUGCAUCUGAUGGAGUUUGGGAUGCCAUAUCAUCAGACAUGGCUGCCAAGUCUUGUCAUGGCUUGCCUGCUGAGCUUGCUGCUAGACAAGUUGUGAAGGUAGUGGAACUCACGCAUCUUUGCAUCGAUAACAAGUACUUAGAAUGAUAUCUUUAACUCAUUUACGUCGUUGAUUGUCUAGGAAGCUUUGAGGACACGAGGGUUGAAGGAUGACACAACAUGCAUAGUAGUUGACAUAAUACCUCCCGAUAACACUGUACAGCCUGCAACUCCGCCCAAGAAGUAUAACAAGCUUCGAUCUCUUUUUUCAGAAGAAACUCGCAAAAAUCUGCUGGUAAACUAUCGAAAAAGCUGUCAGCUGUAGGCAUUGUAGAAGAACUGUUUGAAGAAGGCUCAGCAAUGCUUGCUGAAAGGUCAGAAUUCUCUGGAACUUUGAAACCUUAUUAAUACUUCAUGAAGCUUUCUGUUUCUGUUGAUUUUGAAUUGAAUAAAUUAGACAAGAUUGAUUGUUAAAUACCAUAACUAUUCAACCAUGUUAAUAAGCGUUGAGAUUUAGCCUAAAUGUGGUCUCGUUACAUAGAUACGAGGUGGUUGGCAUGUUUCCCUCGGAUCUCAGUAUUCUUGACUUCUUUUUUCUCAAUUUUCUAUGAAUGUUUUCAAGAAGAAGAGUUUGAUCGUUGUGUUAUUAUGUGGAUUGCAGAUUGGGGAGUGAGGAUUCAAAUGGUCCAUCAAUGUCCGGUCUCUUCAUUUGUGCUGUUUGCCAGGUCGACCUUGCUGCAAGUGAAGGCAUAUCAGUACAUGCUGGUUCAAUUUUCUCGACAAGCUCAAAGCCUUGGCAAGGUCCAUUUCUAUGUGCUGACUGUUGCAAUAAGAAGGAUGCCAUGGAAGGAAAACGACCAAGUGGUGUUAAAGUCACUUAACUCGUGCAUCGUUGCCAAGUUGUGUCUACAAUUUUGUUACAGUAAUUCUUUCUGAUAUCUGCCUCAUAUCUUAGUUAAAUUCAAAGGUGAUUUAUUGAACAUUGGCAUCAGAGCAUAAUACUAUAUGUCAGCCAAUAAUGUAAAUAGGUUCUAUCAAACGAAGAAGUGUGAUAAUAGUUAUGAGAUUAAUCUAAAAGAUGUAUUUUCUUCUUGUUGUUCCUUGCUUGUUGCUACAUCAUCUUUUUUCAUCUGUGUUUGAGCGGAGUGUCUAUGUAAAACAACCUCUCCACCUUCUCAAGGUCUGGUUACACACUUGACGUUACCCUUCUAGACUCCACUCGUGAGAUUACACUGAGUUUAUUGUGAGUUUAUUGUUUGUUGUUGUAAUAAUGACAAAGAGGAAUUUAACUUAACAAUUAAGUUAAUAUCUACUCUUCCUUCUCUUGAGGUAUUAUCUUUUUCUUUUAGCACGAGAGAAUUCCGAAUGUCUUGGUCUUUUUUUCUUUUGUUUGCUUCUUCAUGUCUUGAAUUAUUCAAAUGCAACAUUAGUGUCGGUCGGUAUCCAAAAUAGUAUAAUAAGAUCAAUUAUUGGGAGGAGUUCAUAUGCACUCGAUAUUUAAACCAAAUCAAUAGAUGCACAUCAUGUAUCUGUUUGGACAUAAAUUUUCCAUAACUGAAUAGAUACAAGAUUUUAACUACAUCUAAUUGUGACCAAAAAGGACCCCAAAACCUAGUUUGAGUGGCUAAAGUUGGAGGAUGUGUAGCUUAGGUCGCAGGUUUAAGCUCCACACAAUACAAAGUGAAGUCUGAUAUUUAAGUGGUGAAGGGUAAAGGAGCGGAUCCAUUAUGUACCGAGUUUAAAAGGUUGUGAUUGAUUCAAAGGGUGGAUCACAGACGAAUUUCUCCAUUAUCAAAAAAAAAAAAUGUGUGACCAAAAGAAGAAAGGAAAAGUCAGUUUAAAUAAUACAAAGAAAGAAGAAGAAAAAUUCUUAGAUUCUGAUCAAUUCAAAAUUAAUGCAUAGACUUUUCCAAUCCCAAGUCUUUGCAGUACAGUUCUUAGAGUAAUGUUUGGAUUGGCUUAAAACAAUAGGUUGAUUGUUCAUAUAUUUUAAAUUGUAAUUUUUUGUCAAAUAAUUUGUGAUAUUUACUAUCGUGUAAUUUUCUUAAUAUACCGUACAUAAUGUUUUCAAGUUACUCACGUGAGAAGCACGUGUCCAGGAUUCGUAUUAUGAUGAAUUUAAAGCUCCAAAAUAAAAAGUUGAAUUAUCAUUUUGCCCCUCUGCUAAAGUAAAAUUUGAUUGAAUAUAAAUAUUUUGAUCACUUAAUUGUAGAAUUUGAAGUUCUUAAACCCUUCAAUAAUUAAAUUAUCAUUUUCUUGAUAAAUGAGUACAUUGAUAUUGCUUUUAAUCUUAAUCAUAAAAAUCUCAUAAUGAAGGAAUUUGAAAAAUUAUGAUAUUAAAAGUUAUUCAUCACUUUAAUGUAGAAAACAAUUUCAGAAUUAAAAUUAAAAUUUAAAGGAUCAUUUCUUACUUCUAUUUAAGAACCAAAUUAUAAAGACGCAAUCUCAAAUAGAAAAUCGAAUUAUGGAAAUUGCACAAUUUAACAUGAGAAAAUAAGAGAGUUAGAAGUUGCAAAAUUUAACAUCGAGCAUGAAGACUUCCUUUGCGAUAUCCUCUAACUUUUCGUUCUUGCUUAAUUUCUCCAUUAUAAAAAUUUUCUUCAAUGAAGCAUUUAGAAUUGUAUGGGUGUUGGACUUGAAGGAGGUCAUCUUUUUUAAACAGACUAAAAAAAAAAGGAGGUCAUUCUUUUUUAAACGGAGGAAAUAAUAUUAUAAUCAUUUAAUUAAUCAUUAAAUAAUAAAACACAUCGUAUUACAAGUGGAAAGACCUUAAAUGAAAAGUUACAUUAUAAUCAAUCAUAAUAUAAUACUUACUGCCCUAAUGACUUAAUGAAAUGUCCAGAUCAUAAAUGUUGAAGUAAUUUUCUAGCAAUAUCUUUAAGAGAAAAGACCAAAUAACCACUUAAUAGCACAGAUAAUACUAAUUCAAUUGGUUAUUUAAAUACAAUUAGGAGUUUUUUUUCUUUUGCAUUAUCUUUUUUCAGGUAAAUACAUCUCAAAUCUAAUAUAAAAUUUGUGUGUAAUGUUCUAUAAAGAAAACAUUUUGAAGAAAUAUUGUUUUCUUUUACAUCAUGGAGAAACAUGUAUGCAUGUUUAAUAUAAAGUAACUAUUAUAUAAAUAGUAUCAAAACUACCCAUAUUUUAACUUUACAAAUAUUAAAUCAUUUUUGAAUGUAAGAGUAAGGAGAUUAAAAUAUAAGAUUAAUAUAUAUUAUGCUUUGAAAUUUGUAUUUUUCAAUAUACUUUAAUAUCUAAAAGACAAUGGUGAAGAUUUCAUUAACGAGGUGGCAAGUAUUAGCAGAACAUUUAACAUCGUGAGCCUUGUGGGAUUUUGUUUUGAGGGUCACAAAAUCUCUUGUAUAUUACUUCAUGUCAAAUGGAUCUUUUGAAAAAAUUAUCUAUGAGGGAAGAUCCGAUAGUGUUUGUCAAUUAGAUUGGCCAAUACUGCACAAAAUUGCACUAGGCAUUGCUCGAGGAUUGGAGUACUUAAAUUGUGGUUGUACCACUCUGAUAUUGCUUGAGGAAUAUUUUUGUUCGAAAAUAUAUGAUCUUGUCAAAUUGUGCAUAAAAUAGGAGAGUAUUGUGUCAAUGUUAGGUCCACAAGGGACUAUCGGCAACUAAUCGGAAAAAUGAACUGGACGAAGAGAUUCAACUAAUCGGAAAAAUGAAUGAAGAGAUAAAGAAUGUGCAAGAAAGAUAGUGAUGGUGAGUUUAUGGCGUAUGCAGACUGAUCUCACAAAUCAUCAUCGAUGAGGAAGAUUGUGGAAAUGUUAGAAAGGAAAGAAACUCUCCGCAAAUGCCUCCCAAGACUUACCUAUAUUCUCCCACAAGAACAGAAGUCGAUUUUUCAGUACUAGUCGAUUUUUCAGUACUAGAGUUGCCUAGUCUUAAUGUGUUCAUAUCAGUAUAGUAGAUCAAAUAUUAAGACAACUAAAGAAGUUUGGUUCAACCAAUAUAGUUGUAAUUAUCUGUCUAAACCUUCAAAGAAAUAUAUAUAUAACGAAGAUUUAAAUUUUUGUUAUUGUAAUUAUCUUUAGUCAAAAUGCAAAGUUUCCCAGAUUUUCAUGACAAAGAAAGAAAAUCUAAGUUCAAAGAGAACUCUCAUAUUCUUAAUCCUGAGAACUUUCCUAAUCCACUAAGUUGACUGGAAAAUAACAAUAAAAAAAUUUUCCACUGAACAAUUAACAUAAUAUCUAGUAUUCCUUUUCUUGAGGUAGGAAUCAUUUUGUUCGAGUAUAGGAUAAUUCCAUAUGACUUUUAGUCUUCCUCUUUUGUUUGCUUCCUCAAUUAUGAGUAUUUUUCCAUGAUUUAUUCACGUUCGAUAUGUCUUUUUAGAUCAACUUAGAGAUGCUUUUCCUAGUAGAGCUGAGCAGUAACGGAGUCAGAAAUUUCACAAAGGGUGUCCAGAAAUAGCACAGUAAAAACUCUUCUAAAAAAGUAGAACUGGUGAGAUUCAAACACACGAGCACUACCCCAUUCCAAAGAGGUGAAACCACUAGGCUACAAUAGCUUAUUGUGUUAAAGUUGUCCAAAAUAUGUUAUUUAAUCAUUUCGUGGAUCAUUUUACUUAUAUAUACGAUAUUUUUCGACGAAGGGUGUCCAAUUACCAUCUGGCUACGCCACUGGAGUUGAGGGUCUAUCAGAAACAACCCAUGUAACUUCCAAUGUAGGGGUAAGCUAAGGUCUACGUACACUAUACCCUCCCCAGCUGGACUCUCCAAAAAUGAAGUCUCACCCGUGUCGGAUACUCAAAAAAUGCAUUACUUUUGGAGGAUCCGACACACACCCUGUGGCUUUUUUGAAGAGUCCGAGUAACAUAGCUCCCCAGACCCCACUUGUUGUUGUUAUUCUUUUGUUUGUUUCCAUGUUUCGUGUAAUCUUUGGUUUUGGAUAUCUGAUUUCAUUUGUGGUUCACUAUGUUUAGGUGACCUCACCUUAUUGUUGUUAUUACGGUUCCUUGCAUAUUAGUAACAAUUUUACUAUUCACACAUUGGCAUAAAUAUAGUACCUGAUAGCCUUCAAUCAAAAUGAUUUGUUCUAUAUUCAAUUUUUAUGCAGCAGCAAAGACGAAAGUUAACUCAAACUAGUGUGGAAUCGAAACAUACUUGAUUGAUAUAUAUACACUCGCUACAAUUAGUUGUUGUCAUGCUUUUAGAAGAAAGUGAAACAAAACUCAAUACUCAUUCCACCCAAUUUAUGUCCAAGUCCUUGAGUUUCAUGAGCCAUUUCUUUGCAUCUUGUGCAACAAAAGGUUUAGACGAUGUCGUUUCACAAUUUACAUCAUUAGCUAAUAAUUCAACUUUCUUCUCUUUGGCAAAGCUUGCUUGUCUGUUAGGAUGCCUUACCUUAAGUGACAGAAGACGCGAAACUUCAUGAAGGCCGCCCCAUUUUUCUAACGCACGAGCAAUAUCAUAUCGGCCUGUAGGAGAUAACUAGUACAAAUCAGAAGUAUUCGUGAGGUGAAGAACUAGAGCAACUCUAGGCCUGGGAAACAUUACGUCGUUUGCAUUGUAAUCUAGUUCCAUACCUGCACGUUCGAAGGAUUUUCUACUAGGCAUAUACGAUAGAUCCAUUCCCCAGUUCUUCUGGAAUCGACUGAUCUGAGAAAUUGCAGAUCAUUUCCAAGCUCAAUCAAAAUAAUCAAGAAAAUAUGAAAUGCAACUAGGUUGGUUAAAUCUCCUAAAAGUGAAACUCGAUUUUUUCCUGCAUUGAUCAGUAUCUUAUGCUGUUUUUUGUUUUUUUUGCAUGUAUUCACAGUUUUUGCAUGAAAUGAGAAGUUGAUAAUACGUACGAAGAACUGUUAACUAACCUCCUCUUGUAAAUUUUCUAAGCUAUCCCAAUAACCUUUUGGUUUGCGGUGUUUGUAAGCAAGAGAUAGAUUCAUCAAUGAAGAAAUUCUUCUAAAACCUCCCAUACGUGUAAUCGCCUUUUCAAUAUCAACUCUUCCAUGUUUUCUGAGUUGCUUUCUCAUAGGCAUAAAUCCUUCUUGUCCAUGUUCGGAAAUAAAAUCCAAGAGCUCAGCUUUAAGAACUUCAAUAUCCCUCUGCAACCCUGGAACUUUCGGCCUUUGUCUAGGUGAAUGUAAACUACUACUAUCUGAAUUCUGCCCAGCUUGCCUAUCAUAAUGAACAGAUGAAUCCUUCAUUGAUGAACUAACCGAUGCCUCUCGGAAUUCAUCAUGGUUAAAUUUUUCAAGAGGUUUCUCUGUCUCUCGUUCCUCAAUGUAAUCUCGGAUUGCACAUAAGUUUGAUGGAAGGUCCUCGUAUAUGACCUAAUAAUGACAGAGUAAAAGCAGAAGAAAGCACAUAAGGCAUUCUAAUUUGUAAAAUUUUCUGCAGAUUUAUUGAUGCAAGUUAGGCUCAAGAUCCACUUAACAUAAAUUUCAAUGUUAAGUGGAUGAUGAUUAGAGUAGACAUGAAUACAAACCUCUUCCAUAAUUGCUUCGGAAAGAAACGAAUUCUUGUGCAUUUUUGACUCCACACUAUACUUCAACAGAGUAUGAUGACUGCCUAAUUGCUCUAAGAUCCAUUUUCCUUCAAAAGAAUCGAAAUCUCCUUCCACCUGCUCAAAGCUAAUUUCUUGUUCUAUGAGUUCAGAUAAGUCUAGAACGACACGUGCAUGGAGAACCAUGUAUAGAAGACCCUUGCAUCCUUCCUGGAAAUGGACAAGUAGAAGCAUCACCUAAUAUUCGAGAAACAUAUCUCAUUGCAAUACACAACGUAUUAUUCACUCUGUCAUUUACCUGAAGAAUGCGAACUUUGUUGUUGUCUCGUGAUAAGAUCUUACUGAUUGCUAAAUUCGGAACUAUCCUGCAACAGUUUGGGAUGAAUUACCGUUAGUAUGAUGAAAAAGCCAGAAAUUAUAUUAGAAGAAAGUCCUGAAAACUUACUCGGGAAGACUUUCAUAAGCAGUCAAAACAUUCCAUACUUCGCGAACUGGAGCUUUUACUGUAAUACUAGCAACAACGCAACGAUGAACACCUCCAUUUUCCUUCACUUCCAAAAUCAAUUUAUCAAAGGGACUACCAAAACAAUACAGCUUCACAGGAAAAGGUAAGUCACAGUAUACAGUCUAUUUAAUUACCAGUAGACCAUCAAAUCUUCGGAGAUGGACUUCAUCCACCACACAUGGCUUGUCAAGUCUGCAAGUUUUCCCAAAUAUUCCCCAAUUAUUAGUCACGUCACUUGUAACUGGUGUCGACGGGCCAAAAGUGGCUUUGACAAACUUUUCCUUCAAGUGUUCACCCGAAGAUUUAUUUUCGUGGGAUAUGACAUGAUCAAUAAGGUAAGAACCAGGUUCCUCUUUGGUAACAUUCUGAUAACCUUGAUAACUGUUUUCAGCUCUACAGGACAACGCUUGAAGAUUUACGGGGAGGUCUGACCUGAUAAUCCUCUCCAAGAAAAUGGCUGGAAAGUUGAACCUCGGUAUGACACUAACUUCAUAACUUAGUAUAGCCGUUGAAGACCUGAAAAGAAAAGGCAUUUGCAGGUCGAUCUCUGCAUUAUUCUUGAAGACAACAUAAAAGGAAAAUUAGGAACAACAAAGUUCUGUCUGCUUCGAUAAAGAUCAUACCUUGUUCCAACUCUCACUGACCAUUUGCCUUCAAACUUCUUGAAGUCACCGUCAACCAUAGAGAAAUGGAGCUCGCGAACAUUAUCCUAAAUUUAUACAAGAGUAAUGUAAAACACAGCUCUUGGUUUAGACACCCAACUCAGAUGAACUAUCAUACACAGAGAUUUCAUAAGCUUACGGAUUUAAUGAAUUCUUGGAGAUCCAAUACAACGCGAGCUUCUAUGUGCCAAUAGAGAGAUCGUUGGAUACCUCUUUGCUCCAACCAAAUACGCCCAGGACGUGGACAAGGGAUUCUCCUACUGUGAUUAACAAGUGAUUCAUGCAUCAGUGUGUAGUGCAAAGUAUAUCCCAAAAAAUCAUCAGAACCAUGACGAUAUGACAAACAGAGAACUUCAAGAUAAUAUGAAUGUCAGCAAAGACUCUAGAGACGCCCGUAACAGAUAUCCAUCUCUACUGUUUGUACCGAAUAUGUUUAUUCCGAAUUGUACCAGAAGAAUAAAGGCCAAAGACAGCCUCUCAUUGCAGUAAGUUGUAGGCAUGUCUCAAGUUGUACCAAAGUACGAACUUCACGAAAAACAAAAUGAGGUGUUUGAGCUAGCUUGCCCGCACCUGACUAUUCCUCUAGGUACCUGUUAGCUCCUCACUAAUAUAGAUAUCCAAGUAACUCUAUCUAUCAAUGCUAUAGGAAGAAACCACAUAGCAUUUUUUGUGCCUCUGUAUUAAUUUAAGCAUAAGACCUCACGGUUCUCCACUCACUUCAUUGAUCACUAGUUCACACCCCUUGGUAACAAGAUCGAAUGUAGAGUGUAGGAUGUUGAUUUUGCCAAAAACAUUAGUUUUGAUUCAAAUCCUAUAUUUGUUUUAAGAAUACAUUCAAUAUGUAAAGAAGUCAUAAUACGUAAACACACACUCAAACUUGUCCUCAACUCACACAUAAAGCACUAUAACUUUGAGAGUGCACAUCUAAACAUCUCAACCAAUGGCGGAGCCAGAAUUUUCACUGAAAUAGGUUCGAAAUAUGAAUAAAUAAACACACAAAGAAGCCGAAAGAAAGUUCAACGUCUACUAUAUAUAUACAUAUAAAAAAAAUCAACCAUGUAUAAAUAGUGUAAUUUUUCGACGAAGGGUAUUUAGAUGAACCUCUCGACCCUAUCUAGCUUCACCCCUAAGCUCAACUUAGUCUCAACUAGCAACUAACCACUCCAACUCCCCCCCUAAAAUCCCAAACUCAUAAGCUUCAAAUCCUCGCUCCGAUUUACAACACAAACAUCAUUUAUUAGCAAAAAGGAGAUACAUUGCAUCUAUUACCUGCUAACAAGAUUCGGGACGAAAUCAGCAAGCCUUUCAUAAUCAGUAAGAGCAUUCCAUACAGAAUCAACAUCAGCAUUCACCAAAAUCUCAGCUUUAAUCUUUCGUUCUCUCCACGAAACAACUUCCACUUCACAUCCAACAUUUUUCUCUACUCCCAUUGCAUCUCCUCCUAAAAAAUCCCCUUUUCUAUAAUAGUAAAUUCUAAAAUUCUCAUUCUUCGAAUCAAAUUUAACAUAGUCCGAAGAUGAAAAACUCGAUUUCCAUGAACAAAUUGAUGAUAAUUUGUUAUUGAUUUCAUAGUUUUUUGGUUUGAUUGUGAAAUGGAAAUGCAGAGAAUACAUAGAGUGAAGUGAAAGUGAAAAACUUUGUGUUAAAAUUGAAAAUUUUAUUAACAGAAGUGGUUAUUUCUGUUAUAUAUAUUGUUAUUUGAUUGACAGUUAAUUAUUGACCACAUAUAUGUUUUGGAUAGAAGGGACCAUAAAUGAGUGGUCACAACUCACAAGCUUAUGAAUUUCUUUUACUUUUUUUGUUGUUUCGAAAUUAUAAUGUUAUUUUUAAUUCAAAUCGAUGGUGAGAUAAUUACUCUCGAAAAAACUUGUUUUUGAGGGGUCGUUUCAUAGAUGGUUUAGAUGUGAGUGAUGGAAGUAUUAAAUUCUGCAUAAGUAAAAACUAUGUUUGGUAGCUGAUUAAGAGGUAAAUUAUUCGUGUAUAAAAUUAAUAUUGUGAUUGGUUUGGAAUUUAAAACAAACAUGAAUAAAAUUAUUUUAUGCGGGAAAGAAGAUGGAAUGACUAAUACAUGAAUAAAUUAAUCUCCGCAUAACUUAUAACUAAUAUUAAUUUGUGUAGUACAGUACAUAGAUUCACUUAUAAUUAAUCAUGUCCUACUAAUAUUUAUAUACCUCUAACCAGCUAUCAAACGACGUUUAAGUGCUACCAAUUGAAUUUUAAAUGUAACGUGUAUAUUAUUUACUAAACUUUUAAAUAUAUACUUAUUCAAUUUCAACUUCUCAUAUGACAUAUUUAAGACCACGGUAUUGAAAGAUGUUUUAGUACAUUCUAUGUAUCUUUAAUUCAAAGCAGCAAAACUCAAAAAUCUUUCUUCUUUUUUUCUCUCUCUUAAAUUUUGUGUUCAAAUCAAAAUUAUACAAAACAAAUUGAAACGAGCAUAGUAAUAAUAAUUUCUAGAUGAUUUCUUUUUUUUUCUUUAGCUAUUUUUGACGUAUAUGAGCUAUCUAUGAAAAGUCUUUUGAAAAACACCACUUAUGUCAUUUUCAUAACUUUCAAUCAACCAAAAAAAAUCACAAAUCACAGAAUAUGUGUAACAAUAUUAUACUCCAAAGUCCAAAUAUCUAGAAAAAAACUAUUCAAACCUCCAAGUUUCCAUCAAAAUCAAUCUCAAAUCACCAAACAAUUAACAUAUUUUACACUAAAAUAUCUAAUAAGAAAAAAUAUUACAAAAAGUUGCAACAAUUACAAACAUACUCCCAAAUAGUAAAGUUUGUCCAAGUGUAUACGUAGAUCUUAACUAUGCCUUAGAGAUGAGGUCAUUAUUAGUUUCUACCAUAAAGGAAAGACUCCGAACUAUAUAACGCAUACCUUUCAACCCCACAACGGGAUCAGGUAGGGGUAAGAUCUGCAUAUAUCCUGCCUUCUCCAGGAACACACUUGUAGAAUUACAAAGGCGUUAAAUGAAGCUUUGACAAUAUUUCCCCCUUAUUGUUAGUCCUGAACACUAAGAAUGGUUAUCUAAAACGCGUGUUGAUUCCACUCUUGAAGUGACUAAACAUCAACUCUGAAUACAGGCCUAGAUCGUUUGCACAGUUCCUUUUCCUCAAAUCAACUAAGUUGAUUCUUCCGCGCAAAAGUUGGUCAAUACCUACCAAAGACCCUUAAUUCACAAAGGCGUUAAAUGAAGCUCGAGUAGAUUACCUAUACAACAAGUUGUAGUAAGAAACUUCCAAGUCAAACUAACAACAUUGAAGUUUAACAUAUGCCAAAUAGGAAUUCUAGUGAACAAUGCAAGUCUAUAAAAGUUACCUAUAUUUCAAGUUAGAGACUAUCCAAUGAAAGAAAUGAAAAUGACUCAUUAGAAAACAUGAGGAGAAUAGUCCUUAGUUGGUUUAGUCACCACAGAAGAUCGAGUAAGGAAUUCUGUUUACUCUUUCAAACUCCAAAGUUAUAUAUUCAAAUGAUACUAAGCACAUAUUAUAUGAUAUGUUGCUUCUCAUGUUGUUGUUUUUCUUCUUUUAAACAUAAGGGGUACUGGUUAGUCGUUUAUCGUCAUGGAUUUAGCUUCUUGGCUUUUCGUCUUCGUUCUGUUUCAUCAUACAUGUUUUGAUUCUGUUCAAGGACAGAACACACCUUAUUCAAACUGUCCUCAAGAAUUCCAAUGUGGAAGUUCAGAAAUUCUGAGUUUUCCUUUCUACAAACCCGAUCAACCAGAUUGCGGAUUGUGUAAAGUUGAUUGUGAUACUUAUCCCAAUCCGGUGAUCGAAUUGGAAGGAGUUAACUAUCAAGUUGUUGAAAAACAGAAUCCUUUUGUCAAAAUUAAGGAUCCUGUUCUUGAAAAUCUCUUAAAGGAAAAGAGUUGUCGAUCUUUCGAGAGAAAUCUAUCUCUACCAAUAUCUCCUAUAAUCACUUAUACUGUCUACCCUUUCCUCGCCUUGUUUAAAUGCAAUACUAGUAAUGAUAUCUCGUACGAGGGCUUUCAAAGCUACAAUGGUUGCGAAAGUUUCACUUUGUACUAUAACCAUUCAUCCGUUUCUUCUGUUGGAUCUACUCUUCCUACUCAAUGUUCAAUGAUUCAUUUGCCUAUGGUGUCCGAUUAUAAAUCAAAAUCGAACAAUAGUAACCUGUUCGAUAUGUUGGCUGCUGAUGUUUCUCUUGGAUGGUCUGUAUCUAGGACAUGUAAUCAGUGUUACUCGAGUGGAGGACGAUGUCAAGUUGAUAGUAACAACAAAUUUGUUUGUUCUGUUAGUGAUCAAGGCAAAGGUAUUCAAGAAGUAAAAUAUGCCUAAUUCAUUCAUCUUAGUACUCUUUAUUUAUUCGUUUUUCGUAUUGCAGGAAAGCACCAUCUUCGUAGACCAUGGAUCGUUGUUUUAGCCACAGGUAACUAAACUCUUUUGUAAAACUGUACUAGUUGCAUUGUCCCGAAUAGACACUCUUCACCGGAGUAUGACUUCAUUUUCCUCCGUAUAGUUGCAGUUCUCGGUUGCAUUGGAAUCUUGAUUUUGCUGUUCUGCUUCAGAAAAAAGAUUUUCUGGCAUAAGUACCUUAGGUUUUGGGAAUCGAAAGCUGAGGAUCAUCAAAAUAUUGAAGCAUUUUUGAAGAACUACGGGCCAUAUGCUCCGAUGAGAUAUAGUUAUUCAGACAUCAAAAGGAUGACCAGUAGCUUCAAAAACAAACUAGGCCAAGGAGGAUAUGGUUAUGUAUACAAAGGAAGUCUACAUAAUGGAAAUCCUGUUGCUGUGAAGGUUCUGAAUGGAUUAAAAGGCAGUGGUGAAGAGUUCAUAAACGAGGUAUCGAGUAUUAGCAGGACAUCACAUGUUAAUAUCGUGAGCCUCGUGGGAUUCUGUUUUGAGGGACGAAAAAGAGCUCUAGUUUAUGAAUUCAUGCCAAAUGGAUCACUUGAAAAGUUUAUCUAUCAGGAAAGAUCAGACACAGACAGAGUUCGUCAACUAGAUUGGCAAGUACUGUACAAAAUUGCAUUAGGCAUUGCUCGUGGAUUGGAGUAUUUGCAUCGUGGUUGUAACACUCGGAUUCUACAUUUUGAUAUCAAGCCUCAUAACAUACUUCUUGAUGAAGACUUCUGUCCUAAGAUAUCUGACUUUGGCCUUGCUAAACUCUGCGUAAAAAAGGAAAGUAUAGUGUCAAUGUUAGGUGCACGAGGGACUAUCGGUUAUAUUGCUCCUGAAAUUGUUUGUAGAAACUUGGGAGGUGUCUCACACAAGUCUGAUGUUUAUAGCUAUGGAAUGAUGGUGUUAGAGAUGGUUGGAGGAAGGAAAAAUGUUGUUGAUCGAACGAGUGAAGUCUACUUUCCAGAUUUGCUUUAUCAACGAAUUGAACUAGACGAAGAACUUCAACUAAUCGGGAUAAUGAAUGAAGAAGAGAAAGAAUGUGCGCGAAAGAUGGUGAUAGUGAGUCUAUGGUGCAUCCAAACUGGUCCUGCAAAUAGACCAUCUAUGACUAAAGUUGUCGAAAUGUUAGAAGGGGACUUAAACUCUUUGCAAAUUCCUCCAACACCUUACCUAUAUUCUUCCUCAAGUUCAGAAGUAAAAUUGAUCUCAUCAGUAGAAGAAUCGAGUUCCCGAUCAACUCUCACUAUCUCCACCAGAUAGGGAUAAAGUGAUUUGUGUACGUAUAUUCGUUCCCUUCAAACCUUAUUUGUGGAAUUACACAAAAGUAUAAUGUUGUUAGUUGUACAAAAUUUCUUCAUAGUGCUUUGAAUGGUUGUUUAUUUAUUCUUUGCUUUGUUAGAAAUAUGUGUAAGAUUGACUGGAAAAUAAUGAUCACAAAAAGCAAGACUAAAUAAAAUAUGGCUUAGUCUUUUUUUUUUUUUUUUUUUGAGGUGGGAAUUUUUUUGAAAAAAUGAUCAUUAUUUGAAAAAAAAUUACUUACACUUAGUACAAUAACAUAUUCAGUAUAAUUUUAAAAAAAUUAAUUUGAAAAGCAUAGAAUAUACGUUGAUUUUACUCUUGUCUUUAUAGAUAAGAGAGAUAUUUUUUCUGAAAGACACUCGAUUCUUUUUUCUCAUGCAUGAAAUUAUAUCAUAAAGUCAUAUCAAUUUGUUAUGAUUUGUAUGUUUUAAAAUGUAUUUUCUUAAACCUUUAUUUGUAGCUCUAAAAUCAUGACGAUAACUACAUUAAAUAUAUCAUAUGAAGUCAUAUAUAUUUUUCUCUCUUCUUUCUCUUUUGUGUUUGUAGUUAUGAAAUCCUGACAAGCCGAUGUAGUUUAGUAAUCUGGCUCGUAAGAUAUCUAGGUUAAAUAUUGCAUAAAGUUAUAUCGAUCUAUCAAGACUUAUAAGCUAUAGUUUCCGAUUUCGCUUCUUCUUGCCAGCUCACUUGAUCAUCUUUGUUGUUCAAUUUAGAAGUAUUUUGAUACGUAAAUUUUUCACUCAAACUUAAAAGGCUAUUUUUGCACAAAUAUCAGAACCUGGCAUAACAUUUAAAUAGCAAUACAAAAGUUCACUUUUGUGCAAACCACUCCAAUUUACAAGACCUCAAGCCCAAAGAAAAAUCCCAAGUGGGCUAACUUAGGCCCAUUAUGAAGUAAAUUCAUUUUUUCUUUUUUGUUUUUUCGCCAGGCGUCCGGUUAACAUAUUGGAGCCCGGCUAAAUCUGACUUCGCAUCGGAAAAGUUUCACAUUGGAGGUAAAGCACUUUCUAACAAAGACGAAUUCGAACUCGAGACCUCUGAUUGUGGUUGAAGGAGUAUCGUAAAUCUUUUUAGUAAAUAUAUCAAAAUCUUAAAAAACAACUAAUAAAGGUAGGAUGACAAACAGUACGGUGUGUUGCAGAGAAAACUCGUGCAAAAAAAAAAAUAUAUAUUGAACUACUUCAAAAAGUAAGAAAAAAUCAUUAAAUUAUUUUAUAAUCAUAUUUUAAUAGUAAUCUCGUAUCUGCACCUGCAUAACUCUAUAUACUCGUUUUGUACAAAUUCAAACUCGCACCAUUCUAUUGUCUAUCCCUAAUUGCAUAAUUGCUUUUGCCGCUCCAUCCUUUUAACUUUAUGGCGCUAUUUUCUUAAACAACUAAAUUAGAAUCUUUUUUUUUACAAAAAAAGAAAAAGUUUAGUCAAAGAAAAAAAAAAGUAUAGUAUAUAAAAAAAAAUUAAAAAAAGGUUUAUACAUGGGAAAUGUUGCAUGAAAUCAAGUAAAUUAUAGCAUUUGAUUUUGGUCCCACGUUGGAGACAAGAAGAGAAACAGAAGGUAAUAAUUUUAUUUUAUUAUUCAUAAUAAAGUGUAAAAGACAAAUUAUUAAACAAAUCAUAUUUCUAAUCAAAAUUCCUAAAUUUUGCUUUUUGUCGUUAGACCAAAUGAUUAAUCUCCUCACUUUAAACAUAAACUUGCACUCUUUACCUUUUUCUUUUUUUUUUUGCUUUAUUGUACUUCUCUCUUCUUUUUUUGUCAUUAUAGUUGGUAACUAUUGUCAUUUUAGGUAUUUUAUUACAACUUAUUAAUAAGGAAAAAGGUUAAAAUAUAUCAUUAAACUUUCAGAAAAUGUUUAUUUAUGUCAUCCGUUAAAAGCUUACCUCAUUUAUAUCAUUACUGUUCAAGAAAAAACUCAUUUAUGUCAUUAUUUUUAACAGUGAUUUUGCAAAAUCAUUUUUGACACGUCGCCAAUCGUAACUAGGCCACGUCAUCAAUUUUUUUAAUAAAAAAAAUCAUAAUUCUGAAGAAGUAAAUUGGAUUAAAUUUUUUUAUUUAAAAAAUUGAUGACAUGGCCGAGUUUUAAUUAGUCACAUAUCAAAAAUAGUUUUACAAAAUUAUUGUUAAAAAAUAAUGGCAUAAGUGAGCCUUCACUUUAACGGUAAUGACACAAAUGAGUCAAACUUUUAACUGAUGACAUAAAUAAGUCUGAUCUGAAAGUUCAAUGGCAUAUUUGAGCAUUUUCCCUCUUAAUAAUGAUAAUUGAAAUUUUAAAAGUAUAUGUUAAAUUUAUUUAUUUAUUUUGUCAUUUUAGGUAUUUUUACAACUUCAUAAUAAUGAUAUUUGAAUUUACCCGAAAUACAAGGAAAUUGUUUUCGAUAAAAUAUUUUUUCAACAUUGAACACACAUAAAAUAUACGAACUUUCAUUUUUUUUUUUUAAAUUGUGACAAGUCAAUCAAAAAGGCUUUAUUGUGCAUAGUUUAGUGUAUUAUAGAAGUGACAAAUGAUGUUACAUGGCAUUAAAUUAAAUCUAAGUUUUAAUUUAAUUUAAUUUAAAAGAUUUAUUGGUUUUGUACCCAAAAGCAAAAGUGAAAAUUUUGAGUAGUUCAAGAGAAUGACUAAAAGAACGUUGCUUUGUUUCUUUAUUCAGCCGUAAGGCAAAGCCUUUAUGAACCUUUAAACCCUAGCACUCCCUAAAAAAAAAUUAGAAAAGAUAAUUGCGGUGUUUGAAUCAGAUUAUUUGUAUUUAGAUAUAUUUUGUGAAAUAACAACUAUGUACCUUCAAUUUGUAUAUAUAUGUAGAUUAAUUUCACGUGAUGUAUGUUAUCUUUUGUCAAUAUAAAUAUUAGACAGGUUUUCAUAAAAAAAAUUCUCAUUUUUGUUAAUUUGCAUGUAUGUUGAUUAAUUUCAUGUGAUGUAUAUUAUCGUAUAUCAAUACGAGUAUCAUAUAUAAAUAUUUACGAAGCUUUUUUUUUCUUGUUCUUGUUAAUUUACAUAUAGGUCGAUUUCAUGUGAUAGUGUAUUAUUUUCUGGGAAAUUUAUAUAUAAUAGCAAACUAAUAACCUAAAAUAAAUGGAGUAGCUAGAGUUUGAUUUAAUUGUGCUCCAUAGCAAACGUUAGCUAAAGUUUGUCAGGCAUCUCUCUCCCAAAAAUCUCGCUCGCUACUCUCCAUUCUCGCUCGCCUCUCUCGCUUUAUACACAAAAGUGUAUAAAUUCUGUUUCUGUUUUGUAUAAAGCGAGAGAAAAUUGUAUAUACACAUGCAAAAAUAUAUAUCUUCGUGUUAUACAUUUAAUUAUACAAUUUACAAACAUUUUACUUCAAAUAUUGCAGAGAAAAAGGCCAACGAAUUAUACAAUUGCGAAUUAUACAAUUGCAGUGAAAUACAAUUUUCUCUAGCUUUAUAUAACAAAAGUGUAUAUAUUUUGUUUCUGUUUUUGUAUAAAGCGAGAGAAAAACAUAU
RNAcentral lists this long non-coding RNA (32818 nucleotides) under Solanum lycopersicum (tomato). Its description in RNAcentral is "long non-coding RNA (SLYC_LNC000133)". Lineage: Eukaryota; Viridiplantae; Streptophyta; Magnoliopsida; Solanales; Solanaceae. The record is from RNAcentral.